GUGCUCAUUUUGGCAGAACAUCUACUAAAGUUGGAAUGAUACAGAGAUUAGCAUGGCCUCUGCACAAGGAUGACAUGCAAAUUCAUGAAGCGUUCCAUGUUUUU
Molecule: small nuclear RNA, 104 nt
Organism: Jaculus jaculus (lesser Egyptian jerboa)
Lineage: Eukaryota; Metazoa; Chordata; Mammalia; Rodentia; Dipodidae
Source: Ensembl